Molecule: ribosomal RNA, 496 nt
Filed under: uncultured bacterium
Lineage: Bacteria
Description: partial 16S ribosomal RNA
Rfam family: Bacterial small subunit ribosomal RNA
Source: RNAcentral
GAUGAACGCUGGCGGCGUGCCUAAUACAUGCAAGUCGAGCGAACGGACGAGAAGCUUGCUUCUCUGAUGUUAGCGGCGGACGGGUGAGUAACACGUGGAUAACCUACCUAUAAGACUGGGAUAACUUCGGGAAACCGGAGCUAAUACCGGAUAAUAUUUUGAACCGCAUGGUUCAAAAGUGAAAGACGGUCUUGCUGUCACUUAUAGAUGGAUCCGCGCUGCAUUAGCUAGUUGGUAAGGUAACGGCUUACCAAGGCAACGAUGCAUAGCCUACCUGAGAGGGUGAUCGGCCACACUGGAACUGAGACACGGUCCAGACUCCUACGGGAGGCAGCAGUAGGGAAUCUUCCGCAAUGGGCGAAAGCCUGACGGAGCAACGCCGCGUGAGUGAUGAAGGUCUUCGGAUCGUAAAACUCUGUUAUUAGGGAAGAACAUAUGUGUAAGUAACUGUGCACAUCUUGACGGUACCUAAUCAGAAAGCCACGGCUAACUACGU